CAUGUGGUUUAAUUCGAUGAUACGCGAGGAACCUUACCUGGGCUCGAACGUAAGAUGACUGUAGGUGAAAGCUUACAUCUCUUCGGAGCAUUUUACGAGGUGCUGCAUGGUUGUCGUCAGCUCGUGCCGUGAGGUGUCGGGUUAAGUCCCAUAACGAGCGCAACCCCUACCUUUAGUUGCCAUCAGGUUGAGCUGGGGACUCUAAAGGAACUGCCUACGCAAGUAGUGAGGAAGCGGGGAUGACGUCAAAUCAGCACGGCCCUUACGUCCAGGGCUACACACGUGCUACAAUGGCCGAUACAGAGGGCAGCUACCUGGUGACAGGAUGCAAAUCUCCAAAGUCGGUCUCAGUUCGGAUCGGAGUCUGCAACCCGACUCCGUGAAGUUGGAUUCGCUAGUAAUCGCGCAUCAGCCAUGGCGCGGUGAAUACGUUCCCGGGCCUU
Molecule: ribosomal RNA, 443 nt
Filed under: uncultured Sphingobacteriales bacterium
Lineage: Bacteria; Pseudomonadati; Bacteroidota; Sphingobacteriia; Sphingobacteriales
Description: bacterial SSU rRNA
Rfam family: Bacterial small subunit ribosomal RNA
Source: RNAcentral